AGAAGUGUGUGUUCAUUCAGUCCAAAGCAUGUGUCCAAGGUCAGUCCAAAAUUAACAGAAGAGAAUGCAUCUGGAUUUUUUUGCAGUUUAUUUCUUCUUCUGGGCAGGAAGACAUCAUUCUGUAGGAUGCCAAGAAACAUGAGCCACAUUUCAUCCACACCUUCCAGAAGUAACUGUAUGGCAUCAGUCACAUCAUAUCCAGGCUCCAGCAUAGCUAACAUAGAUGCCUUAAUCUGGCAGGAUUGUUACAUGUAGUGCUUUGCAGAGGCACUUGAGAGAGGAGCAGCCCAUCUCCUUCUCC
RNAcentral lists this long non-coding RNA (301 nucleotides) under Phasianus colchicus (ring-necked pheasant). Its description in RNAcentral is "lncRNA (ENSPCLG00000016181.1)". Lineage: Eukaryota; Metazoa; Chordata; Aves; Galliformes; Phasianidae. The record is from RNAcentral.